GCAAGUCGAACGGAAACAUGUCUAGCUUGCUAGAUGAUGUCGAGUGGCGGACGGGUGAGUAAUGCUUGGGAACUUGCCUUUGCGAGGGGGAUAACAGUUGGAAACGACUGCUAAUACCGCAUAAUGUCUUCGGACCAAACGGGGCUUAGGCUCCGGGGCAAAGAGAGGCACAAGUGAGAUUAGCGAGUUGGUGAGGUAAAGGAACACCAAGGCAACGAUAUCUAGCUGUUCUGAGAGGAAGAUC
This 244-nucleotide ribosomal RNA is filed under the name uncultured bacterium. RNAcentral's name for it is "partial 16S ribosomal RNA". It matches the Rfam family "Bacterial small subunit ribosomal RNA", at positions 57 to 305 of the family's 1533-position model. The record is from RNAcentral.